CUUCACUCUGGGACAAGCCCUGGAAACGGGGUCUAAUACCGGAUAACACUCUGUCCUGCAUGGGACGGGGUUGAAAGCUCCGGCGGUGAAGGAUGAGCCCGCGGCCUAUCAGCUUGUUGGUGGGGUAAUGGCCUACCAAGGCGACGACGGGUAGCCGGCCUGAGAGGGCGACCGGCCACACUGGGACUGAGACACGGCCCAGACUCCUACGGGAGGCAGCAGUGGGGAAUAUUGCACAAUGGGCGAAAGCCUGAUGCAGCGACGCCGCGUGAGGGAUGACGGCCUUCGGGUUGUAAACCUCUUUCAGCAGGGAAGAAGCGCAAGUGACGGUACCUGCAGAAGAAGCGCCGGCUAACUACGUGCCAGCAGCCGCGGUAAUACGUAGGGCGCAAGCGUUGUCCGGAAUUAUUGGGCGUAAAGAGCUCGUAGGCGGCUUGUCACGUCGGAUGUGAAAGCCCGGGGCUUAACCCCCGGGGUCUGCAUUCGAUACGGGCUAGCUAGAGUGUGGUAGGGGAGAUCGGGAAUU
This 526-nucleotide ribosomal RNA is filed under the name Streptomyces californicus. RNAcentral's name for it is "bacterial SSU rRNA". It matches the Rfam family "Bacterial small subunit ribosomal RNA", at positions 131 to 669 of the family's 1533-position model. The record is from RNAcentral. Lineage: Bacteria; Bacillati; Actinomycetota; Actinomycetes; Kitasatosporales; Streptomycetaceae.